RNAcentral lists this ribosomal RNA (247 nucleotides) under uncultured bacterium. Its description in RNAcentral is "partial 16S ribosomal RNA". It matches the Rfam family "Bacterial small subunit ribosomal RNA", at positions 523 to 769 of the family's 1533-position model. The record is from RNAcentral.
AUACGUAGGUGGCAAGCGUUAUCCGGAUUUAUUGGGCGUAAAGCGAGCGCAGGCGGUUUUUUAAGCUGAUGUGAAAGCCCUCGGCUUAACCGGAGAAGUGCAUCGGAAACUGGGAGACUUGAGUGCAGAAGAGGACAGUGGAACUCCAUGUGUAGCGGUGGAAAUGCGUAGAUAUAUGGAAGAACACCAGUGGCGAAGGCGGCUGUCUGGUCUGUAACUGACGCUGAGGCUCGAAAGUAUGGGUAGC